CCCCCCCCAAGACAUCAAGGAUAAUGUUGUCUCUGAUUUCAUGUCUCACAAUGGAAGCAUACGUUGGUAAUAGCAACUAGUGCCCUGGAAUGGGAGUUAACAUACCCAACAUCAAAAAGGUUGUUAUUUUUGGAGAGGCAGAGAUCAUGGAAUCCUACCCUCAAGAAGUUGGAAUGGGUGGAAGGAAUGGUUCUGAUGUUUUGUCCAUGAAUGCAUACCACUUAUGUCUCUGUACGUGAUCCCACAAUGAGGGCAUUCGUCAAAAACAAAGUUUAAUGUACGCAUGUGGAAGUACUACAGUUUUUUAAUGGGAAGAUAAAAAACCUUCCAUACUGCAGAGUGCUGUGAUGUGUACAGUAAACAAUGUGAUUGUGGAGACUGCCCAGAAGAAAUGUUUAAGAUUUGAACUGAUCUUAACAACUGUCCAUGUACUUUAGGAAGGCAAGUUAACAUGGAUGAAAGAGGGACAUUCACAUAGGUGUUAAAGGGUUUAGCUGUGACCUGUAAAGCCAGGUGACAGGCUUGAAAGUGUUUGUGUUUAGGAUGUGUUUAAUGGUGCCAUUAUUUCAGAUUUAGCUGCAGACCUAGAGUAUUUAUUUACAGUUGCUUACAUUUUGAAAAUGAAAAGCUUGCUGCAAAUAUAUUGCUUGUUGUAGGUUAUUAUUUAAUGAUGUAGAAAAGACAACACACCUUAAAGAAAAGCACCAUUUUUUCCAAAACUUUCUUUUUCUCCAUAAUUCUGUCUAAUUGACCUAUCCAAGUCUCUAAGGAGCAAACUUGCACCUGUCAUGUACUGGGGCACCUUCCAGAUCAAGUAUAAGAACACAGACCCCUGAUUUUACAUUUCAGCUUUGUGCUCAAAGCUAUGAUUAGCCAUCUAAAGCGUCUGUUUCAUGGCCCAUGAGGAACGAUUGCACAGAUAGUACAAAAAUCUACUGUUGGCAUUAAACUCUGGUUCAAUGAUAAGGAAGGAGACAAAAGAGCCACCAGAAGUCAGAACUUUAUUGAGGAGAACACCAUGCCAAAGAAGGAUAAGAGUCUUCACAAAAUUGGAGACAAAUGUUGUUUCUUUCUGUCUUUCAAGAACAACCCCAAAUUGUCAAACAGAGUAGUCCAGUGCCUGGAGUAGUCCAGUCCCUGGAAGAGGGAAAAGAGAAAAGCUGUAGUUACAUUAUACAGUUCCAAGAAGAUGGCAAUGAUGAAUUUGGAAUUGUGCAGUACUACUUUUAUGCCAGGAACACUGGGUGUGCUUUCAUUCACAAGUUUGAAAAGGAAGAAAACAUCUGUUCAUGAGAGCUUGAUGAUCCAGGAUGAUCCAAUGAUUAAGUCAUUUAUUGACAAGGGUAUUCUUUGAAAGCACUUUCAGGCUGUAAAGGAGACUUCGCCAGAUACUUGUAUUCCUUGCAGAUGUGCGUUUGUAUCUUCAAAAAGACCUGGUGUAAGUGGCUAUUAUGCCUGUUUUAAAGUACUACCAACAUGACUAAGCUACAGAAAUGACUUCGACAUUACCUCCCAAAAUUGCCCUCUGAAAAUAUUUAGGGUAUAGGACCAGAAGAAUUGGUUGUUUUGUAUUCUCUAUUUUGUUUUGUUUGGAAUUGACAUUUGUUACGAUUUUUGUUUUAUUAGUCACAUAGUAUUUACUGUUCCAGGAUGUUCUGGCAUUGACCAAGGUAAAUAAUUUUCCUUCUCCCAAACCUAAGUUAAAUGGCAUUAAUAAAUAUAUAUAAGUUUGAAAUUUGACGAGCUAAUUGAUGAGCUUUUAUCAUUCAGUAGAUUAUUUCUGAAUUCACAGGAGUUAGAAAGAGAAAAAGGGAAUCAGCAGAAAAUUCCGGGCUACUUGCAUGGGGCUUGGGUUCAUUGGUGAUGCCCAAGACACCCAAAGUACAACAGAGUGGACUAUCAUUCUGCCGGGACUGAAGUUGUAACAGACUUGGAAGAUGAUCUCUUCUUUCUUGAUGGUGAGUGAGCAACUAAUUGUCAGCGUAAAUAUAUUAUAUUUUGUGAUUAAGUUCAGGUUUAAGGCAAUUAAUCCACAAAGUUGCCAUACUUUUUUUUCUCUGUUGAUUAUUAACUGACACUUUAAAACAUGUUUGACACGCAAGCCCAAACAAUAAGUCCACAGCCGCACUGCAACAAAGAUGACUGCAGCUGUGACGAGGCGAGCAUUUUCAUCACCCCUAUACCGCGUGGCUUUAAGGGACUAACAUCCCUGCAACCUGACGACUGCGCAAUCUCAGACCAACUCCUUCGCAGUUGCACCACUCGAAAACGCAAGCUGGAGCUAGACGAUUAAAUUGUUUAUAGAGAGAAUUGAAGGAGUGGCACUGCAAGCAAGGGUGGUAAUCAAAAAUGAAAAGAUCUGCUGAAAUGACACUGAAAAGAUUAACAAAGUCCAAGAAAAAGAAAAAGGAAAGUUGGCUACAAAAAAAAUAAAGAAAGAUCCAAUACUAUAAGAUGGAGCUUUUGGAAAGCAAAAACACCUUUAACCACAGUUCUUUUUUUAUUAACAUAAAAUCAAAUUCUGUAAUUUCAAUAAUUUUCUUUGGUACAAUCAAAGGUUGUUGUUUCACUGAGUCUCUGCCAGACAUUUCAAACAUUGGACUGAGUCAGUGACAAGUUGUUUCCUUGGCAAACUUCAAUUUCCUUGGGAAACCAAAGUAGAAGAAAGAACAUUUCUGCAAAAGUUAGAGAGUAAGUCUUAAAGAAGAAGGCAGUACAGAUAGAUAAGAAACUGACACCCAAUGAAGGUGGACAUUUCAUCAAUUCUGACAAUUUAUCAGUCUUUGAAGUGUUUUGUAACCAAAGCACAGCCUUUGGCAGUGGACAGUGUUUCGGAAGAGACAGGAUGGCUCAGUAGGUUUCUACCUCAACUGGAAUGACUACAAUUGUGGCGUUGGUAAUCUGAGUGGUGAAAUUUUGAUCAACCUGGGCAAGAUUUAAGGCCUGACCUUAAAUAAUGAUAGCAUGCCCUUUCUGAUAUAGAAGACAUACCCGGCCCAUGAAUACUUCAUAUUCUAUAAGAGCAAAUUUAUCAGAGACUGGAAGAUGCUCAUUUGUGGCAGUCCCACUGGUUGACCAAUCAUUGCCCUAGACUUGAGUUGUUUCUCCUGUUGUAGUACUUUUGAUUUUUAAUGAUUUACUUUUGGGUUUUUCAGGUUUGGUGGUAAUUGCGGUUUGCGAAUCUCUCUUCUUAUACAAGGAGCAGCUCUCAGAUGUCUAGAGUAAUCUACAAAGCCUUUUGCCUGGACUGCAGUGCUAUAUUGGCAAAAAAAGAACCUACUAGAUCAGAUGAGAGCUUACCAGAGCACCUGAGAGACCUCUACAUCUAAAGCAUCGCCAAAGGCAUCAAUUAUAUAACCUCCUGCCAAAUUUCAAGACAUCUCUAGAGGACCUCAUGGUCUGGACUGGGCAGGUGUUACCAAACACAAACUGAGUACAGGUGAUGCCUUUUUCUUGAAUGUCAGCACCCUAAGAGACUACCCUUUGCAAAGGGUGAUAUGGCUUUCAAAGCUGUUGAGGAGAUGCAUACAUUCACAAGGCAUAAUUGAACCCUGUGCCAGUCCCUGCGUUUUAUCAGUGGUCAUGGUGAAGAAAAAGGAUGGCAGAAACAGAUUUUGCAUUGACUACCGAAAGUUAAAUGACCGACAAAGGAGUCGUAUUGUUUGCAAUUAAGGAGAGCCAUUAAAUUUCCCAACACACCGGUUCAACUCCAGAAGCUGUUUGCUUUCAUACCCACAUGGUCCAUUGGAGCAUAUCACUGAAGAUUUUCAAGAGACCUGAUUUGUGAUGUAUUUUCAUUUUUGUAACAUUUAUGUAUAGCUAUGGAAGUGCUUCUGCAGGACUUUUAAAAAUCAGCUGUAAAUAUGUAGUUUUAUCGUCUUCAAAACUCUUGAUGUACGAUGACACAGAUAUUGAGUAAAUAUUAAUUUAUGCAUUCAUAA
This is a long non-coding RNA of Orbicella faveolata, 3941 nucleotides long. NCBI's taxonomy places the organism in Eukaryota, Metazoa, Cnidaria, Anthozoa, Scleractinia, Merulinidae. The record is from RefSeq and is a predicted model, not a curated record.